RNAcentral lists this ribosomal RNA (472 nucleotides) under uncultured bacterium. RNAcentral's name for it is "partial 16S ribosomal RNA". It matches the Rfam family "Bacterial small subunit ribosomal RNA", at positions 28 to 523 of the family's 1533-position model. The record is from RNAcentral.
GACGAACGCUGGCGGCGUGCUUAACACAUGCAAGUCGAACGGGAGUAUUGAAGAAGCUUGCUUUAGAGAUACUUUAGUGGCGGACGGGUGAGUAACGCGUGAGGAGCUGUCCGAUGCAGGGGGACAACAGUUGGAAACGACUGCUAAUACCCCAUAAGCCGAGAGGUAAAAGGAUUUAUCCGGCAAUGGAGGUACUCGCGUCCUAUCAGCUAGUAGGUGAGGUAACGGCUCACCUAGGCGAAGACGGGUAGCCGGCCUGAGAGGGCGAACGGCCACACUGGAACUGAGAUACGGUCCAGACUCCUACGGGAGGCAGCAGUGGGGAAUAUUGGGCAAUGGGGGGAACCCUGACCCAGCGACGCCGCGUGGGUGAAGAAAUCCUUCGGGAUGUAAAGCCCUGUUGUAUGGGAAGAGCGGAAGACGGUACCAUACGAGGAAGCCCCGGCAAACUACGUGCCAGCCGCCGCCGUAA